RNAcentral lists this ribosomal RNA (252 nucleotides) under uncultured bacterium. RNAcentral's name for it is "partial 16S ribosomal RNA". It matches the Rfam family "Bacterial small subunit ribosomal RNA", at positions 524 to 775 of the family's 1533-position model. The record is from RNAcentral.
UACGUAUGGUGCAAGCGUUAAUCGGAAUUACUGGGCGUAAAGCGUGCGCAGGCGGUGAUGUAAGACAGAUGUGAAAUCCCCGGGCUCAACCUGGGAACUGCAUUUGUGACUGCAUCGCUGGAGUGCGGCAGAGGGGGAUGGAAUUCCGCGUGUAGCAGUGAAAUACGUAGAUAUGCGGAGGAACACCGAUGGCGAAGGCAAUCCCCUGGGCCUGCACUGACGCUCAUGCACGAAAGCGUGGGGAGCAAACAG